UACGGAGGAUUCAAGCGUUACUCGGAAUCACUGGGCGUAAAGAGCGCGUAGGCGGGAUAGCAAGUCAGAUGUGAAAUCCUAUGGCUUAACCAUAGAACUGCAUUUGAAACUGUUAUUCUAGAGUAUGGGAGAGGUAGGUGGAAUUCUUGGUGUAGGGGUAAAAUCCGUAGAUAUUAGGAGGAACACCAGUGGCGAAGGCGGCUUACUGGACUGUAACUGACGUUGAGGCUCGAAAGCGUGGGGAGCAAACAGG
This 253-nucleotide ribosomal RNA is filed under the name uncultured Helicobacteraceae bacterium. RNAcentral's name for it is "partial 16S ribosomal RNA". It matches the Rfam family "Bacterial small subunit ribosomal RNA", at positions 524 to 776 of the family's 1533-position model. The record is from RNAcentral. Lineage: Bacteria; Pseudomonadati; Campylobacterota; Epsilonproteobacteria; Campylobacterales; Helicobacteraceae.